Molecule: ribosomal RNA, 1092 nt
Filed under: Staphylococcus pseudintermedius
Lineage: Bacteria; Bacillati; Bacillota; Bacilli; Caryophanales; Staphylococcaceae
Description: partial 23S ribosomal RNA
Rfam family: Bacterial large subunit ribosomal RNA
Source: RNAcentral
CCUGAGUACGACGGAGCACGUGAAAUUCCGUCGGAAUCUGGGAGGACCAUCUCCUAAGGCUAAAUACUCUCUAGUGACCGAUAGUGAACCAGUACCGUGAGGGAAAGGUGAAAAGUACCCCGGAAGGGGAGUGAAAGAGAACUUGAAACCGUGUGCUUACAAGUAGUCAGAGCCCGUUAAUGGGUGAUGGCGUGCCUUUUGUAGAAUGAACCGGCGAGUUACGAUCUGAUGCAAGGUUAAGCAGAAAAUGUGGAGCCGUAGCGAAAGCGAGUCUGAAUAGGGCGAAUGAGUAUUUGGUCGUAGACCCGAAACCAGGUGAUCUACCCUUGGUCAGGUUGAAGUUCAGGUAACACUGAAUGGAGGACCGAACCGACUUACGUUGAAAAGUGAGCGGAUGAACUGAGGGUAGCGGAGAAAUUCCAAUCGAACUUGGAGAUAGCUGGUUCUCUCCGAAAUAGCUUUAGGGCUAGCCUCAAGUGAUGAUUAUUGGAGGUAGAGCACUGUUUGGACGAGGGGCCCCUCUCGGGUUACCGAAUUCAGACAAACUCCGAAUGCCAAAUAAUUUAACUUGGGAGUCAGAAUGUGGGUGAUAAGGUCCAUAUUCGAAAGGGAAACAGCCCAGACCACCAGCUAAGGUCCCAAAAUAUAUGUUAAGUGGAAAAGGAUGUGGCGUUGCCCAGACAACUAGGAUGUUGGCUUAGAAGCAGCCAUCAUUUAAAGAGUGCGUAAUAGCUCACUAGUCGAGUGACACUGCGCCGAAAAUGUACCGGGGCUAAACAUAUUACCGAAGCUGUGGAUUGUCCUUUGGACAAUGGUAGGAGAGCGUUCUAAGGGCGUUGAAGCAUGAUCGCAAGGACAUGUGGAGCGCUUAGAAGUGAGAAUGCCGGUGUGAGUAGCGAAAGACGGGUGAGAAUCCCGUCCACCGAUUGACUAAGGUUUCCAGAGGAAGGCUCGUCCGCUCUGGGUUAGUCGGGUCCUAAGCUGAGGCCGACAGGCGUAGGCGAUGGAUAACAGGUUGAUAUUCCUGUACCACCAUUAUUCGUUUUAAGCGAUGGGGGGACGCAGUAGGAUAGGCGAAGCGUGCUGUUGGAG